GAUGGGGACACUGUUGGGACCGCUCUGCUAAAGAGGAGGAAGGAAUGGGCAACGGUAGGUCAGCAUGCCCCGAAUUAUCCGGGCUACACGCGGGCUACAAUGGUCAGGACAAUGGGUAUCGACACCGAGAGGUGGAGGCAAUACUCCUAAACCUGUCCUUAGUUCGGAUUGUGGGCUGCAACUCGCCCACAUGAAGCUGGAAUCCGUAGUAAUCGCGUUUCAAAAUAGCGCGGUGAAUAUGUCCCUGCUCCUU
This 253-nucleotide ribosomal RNA is filed under the name uncultured Methanolinea sp. RNAcentral describes it as "partial 16S ribosomal RNA". It matches the Rfam family "Archaeal small subunit ribosomal RNA", at positions 1086 to 1338 of the family's 1478-position model. Lineage: Archaea; Methanobacteriati; Methanobacteriota; Methanomicrobia; Methanomicrobiales; Methanoregulaceae. The record is from RNAcentral.